Molecule: ribosomal RNA, 133 nt
Filed under: Mesocricetus auratus (golden hamster)
Lineage: Eukaryota; Metazoa; Chordata; Mammalia; Rodentia; Cricetidae
Source: RNAcentral
GUCUGUGUCAACCAUCCUGAAAAGACCUGAGCUCCUCUGAUCUUAGAAGCUAAUCAUGGUUGGCCCUGGUUAGCACUUGGGUGGGAAUAAGAAAUGUUAAUUUUGUCAAUCACAAAGAGAGUUGUUGCAGAAA